UUAAUUUCUUGAUGAGUAAGUUUAAUAUUUAGUUCAGAGAGUUUCCGAAUGGUGCGAGGAAAUCAAAAAUAUAAACUGAAGAUGGUCUAGAUUAUUACGUAGGUGUGAGUCAUCAGAUUAGCACUUAAUGGUUGUGCCCAUUACCGCACUCAGUUAUUUAACUGAAUGAGAGAACAAUUGUGAAGUUGUUCCAAAGUAAGGUGGUACCGCGGUCACACGUCCUUAUU
Molecule: non-coding RNA, 227 nt
Filed under: Pediococcus argentinicus
Lineage: Bacteria; Bacillati; Bacillota; Bacilli; Lactobacillales; Lactobacillaceae
Description: T-box sequence
Rfam family: T-box leader
About the family: Uncharged tRNA acts as the effector for transcription antitermination of genes in the T-box leader family.
Source: RNAcentral